CCUUGCUUGGCUCCCGGAGUAAGCCCCUUCCCCUCUCUGGGCCUCGGCUUUCUUGCUGAUGUGAUUGAGGUGCUGGAAGGGGUCAGGGAUUUUUCCGAAACGGUUUAGGCUCCCUUUUUUCCGCGUGAGAGCCAAAUAAAAUGGAUGAAAGGGGCAGGGGGAGCCUCAGAGUCCCACUGGUGAGCCCAGCUGCUCUGCAGCCUCCCCUCCGAGGCCCCGGAGACGCCGUGCAGACACCUGAGGCUCCAAGGAGACCCGCCUGCAAAACAGAAGCAGCAGAAACGAUGCCUGGGAAGAGAAACAUGGGACUGGAAUUCUCACUUUGCCCCUUGUUUGCUGUGUGGUCUUGGGUCAGUCCUCUGACCUCUCUGUCCCAUCUGUAUCAUCUCCGCAGUAAGGAUGGGAAGUAGAAGGUAGACCUGGGUUUCCAGGGCCUGGGCCCCCUUGCUGCCUCGCUCUGUGCCUUGGCAAGCCCCCAGCCCCCUCCUUUCACUGGUCCCCAAAUCCGAUGGCAGACUGGGAGUCCUCAUUCCCGCCUCUCCCGGGUCUGCCUCUCCAGGGGCAUGACGGCUUUACGGAGUCCCCAGAGCACAGGCUGCCCCCUCCUCCCUCCCUGCCCGAUGGAGGAGAGAAAUCUGGAAGGCCCCUGGCAGCCCCCACGGCCCAGAAAUAGCAGGCCAGCUGGUGGGCGGCUGACCUCGGGACUCGGGGCCGGAACUGAGGCUUGUUGCCUGGCAACAGGCACCGUUCACACACCGUGGGUGGCAAGGGGUUCUGGCUGUGGCCCACGUCACCAGCCCAGCCCAGCUCGGCCCCCAGGGUGCGGGACGAGGCCGGCAGCGUGUCCUCGGAGGCUCCGAAGCCAGGCUUCCCCCCUGCAGGGGUAUUUCCGUGUGGUCCUCCCCGCCCCCAGCCUUCUAGCAUCUCCUAGAAGCACCCAGGCGACCUUCAUCAGUGGGAGCAAGACCGCUUAACAGCCGGCCAACCCUGAAGGACUCUUGUGUGAGGUUCUCAAGUCACCGGCCCCUGAUUCCCAUGUGUCCUACUGACAUGUUAGUGCUGCUCUCAGAGUAGCACUGUGGGCAGCUGUACAGAUAACCCAGCCACCUCCAGCAGUAAACCGACGUUUCAAUGUAUGAGGAAGUGGUGGUUAUUAAAUUCUUUUAUUAAAUCCAGGUUUCAGAAACCAAACCCUCUUCAACGUGGCAAAAGCCACACCGAAUCACACUAAAUGGCUUUAAAUAAC
This 1246-nucleotide long non-coding RNA is filed under the name Felis catus (domestic cat). RNAcentral describes it as "lncRNA (ENSFCAG00000052026.1)". Lineage: Eukaryota; Metazoa; Chordata; Mammalia; Carnivora; Felidae. The record is from RNAcentral.